RNAcentral lists this non-coding RNA (87 nucleotides) under Pseudomonas indica. Lineage: Bacteria; Pseudomonadati; Pseudomonadota; Gammaproteobacteria; Pseudomonadales; Pseudomonadaceae. The record is from RNAcentral.
UGUUAUGGCGGCUGUGCGCGGGACACCUACGGGUGUGCCGGGAACCUUGAGGCCCGGUCGGCCAACCCGCGUACAGCUGCCACCUGC